This 205-nucleotide long non-coding RNA is filed under the name Elaeis guineensis (African oil palm). RNAcentral describes it as "long non-coding RNA (EGUI_LNC039732)". Lineage: Eukaryota; Viridiplantae; Streptophyta; Magnoliopsida; Arecales; Arecaceae. The record is from RNAcentral.
CAGAACCUUCCUGCACUACUUGAAGGAAAAAUAUCCAAUCUGAUUAGAUCGCCAGAGUGUGUUUUAAAAUUUUUUCUAUUCUAAUGGUAACAUAAGAUACCCAAUUUAUAGUGGAAUAAGGAUUAAAAUCUUCAGGAGAACUCAAAUCCAAUGUCUCGUAAGAUCUAAAAGCAUAGGCCCUCUACUUCGCACGCAUCCCAGGCUU